UCCGUAGGCGGGUUUUUAAGUCAGUGGUGAAAGCCUACAGCUUAACUGUAGAAUUGCCGUUGAUACUGGAAGCCUUGAGUAUAGUUGAAGUGGGCGGAAUACGUCAUGUAGCGGUGAAAUGCAUAGAUAUGACGUAGAACACCGAUUGCGAAGGCAGCUCACUAAGCUAAAACUGACGCUGAGGGACGAAAGCGUGGGGAGCAAACAGGAUUAGAUACCCUGGUAGUCC
Molecule: ribosomal RNA, 229 nt
Filed under: uncultured bacterium
Lineage: Bacteria
Description: partial 16S ribosomal RNA
Rfam family: Bacterial small subunit ribosomal RNA
Source: RNAcentral